UCCAAUGAUAGUAUUGACUCAAACAAUUAAUUUUGUUGCACGGCUAAUCAAUGCUAAUUUUGUUUUCAAGAUGAAAGAUUCAUUUUAUUUGAAAAUUUAGACCCCAAUAUAACGUUUCAUUUCCUCUUCCAACUUUUUGGUUUCUAUUUGAUUUCAUAAACUCUACCUCUCAUUCUCUCACCCCAUUCAACUAUGCUCCAUUUCAUAUGCUUUUGCUUUCACGCCAUUCAUCUUCUACGAUAUCCUUUCGCGAAAUUUCUUCCUCUUAUCACAUCAUUUUUUCAUUUUCUUUCCAAUGUCCUGUGCUAAUUUCAUUGAUUGUGUUCCAUUUUUUUCUUUUCAAACCUACAUAUGCAUAUGUUGAUGGUGAAACCCAAUUUCCUCAAGCAAACCCUAAAACCCAAUUCUCUGUUAGAACGAAGGAAUGUAUAACUCCAAACAAGGUUUAAUAUCGACAUUUUCCGCGUUGUCUCGAACCUCGGAUGUGCAAAGCUGAAUGCAUGUGUCACUUUUGCAUAUUUGAAUCGAAUAGUCGAUACUGUGAAUCUUCAGAUAAAGAGUUUCUGUGCAGAGAAAGAAGGCAAUAUAUGUUGCUGUCAUCAUUGCAAAAUGCACAGAAGCAAGCAAUUUUUUUCCAGUAUAUCGUUGCUUCUUGUGAGUUUCGUACCAAAAUCAGCAAGGGAAAUAUAUGUGGUGAUAGUUUUACUUUAUGGCUAUUCAGAUUAAAUGCUUAGAAGUUGUGCUUUGUGGAUCGCUUGUGAGGUUGGGUUUGGCUCAAAUUUUUGGGAGAGUCUUGGCGAAGAUGUUUGAGUCUACCAUGGAGGUUUACUUCAUGGUUACUUGGUUUGUGUUCUACUUUGUGUCUAAGUCAAGGUAUGCCAAUCAACAAGGCAGCAGAUUUGGGCAUAGGGAAAUUAAAGGCUUAAAUGAUGGGAACAUAUGAUACUUAGGUGUGCUUCAUCAACAGUUUUAUUAUACCGAUUUUUUAUUCAUCACGAAUAAUUGAAGUCUAGAACAAAUUCUGUCCUUGGUGAAUGGAGGACGUAUUCCCUCACUUUGUGACCUCUUGACUUGUGCAGAUCCAAUGAUUGUGUAUUUUCUUAAAUGAAUUGAAAAAUAUUUUAAAUUCAGAUCAAGCUCGCAAGGGAAUGGUUGAGGAGUUUGGAGGGAUGGAGAAGAUUGCAAUUUUACAGUGCAAUGAUAAUACUGGUGCUAGGGAUAUAGCUUUAAAGAUUUUGGAGAGCUUUUGGCAAGAGAAGAUUGAUUGGGUUUAGUAUUUUGAUUUAAGGCUUUGAUCAAGAUUUAUAUUAGAUUUCUUUGUAAAGCUGGAUUACGGUUUUGGUUUAGAGCACUAGGGUGCAAUAAAUUGUAGCCACUGAGUAUGGUUACAGAUUUUGAAUGGAUUUUAUAGAUAAACAACUUGAUCAACUUGACCAGCUGAAAUAGAUGAAUCAAAAUUAAAUUCCUUGAACCUAUACUUAUCCUUGCUCCUCAACCAAUAUAUUAAAAGAGAAAUAUUUGAACAUCUUAUAUUCAUAUUUUUAAUUCGUAGUUUUCUUUCAUCCUUUUAGUGAUUUCAUUCAUUUUUUUUUUAAAUUGGAUAAGCUUCACAUUCACAAUCAACUAUUUUGGCAGUUGAGUUCAAUGCACAUGAGAUGAUUAGACAGACCAUAUUGGUGAAGUUCUAAAGUUCAUAAAAAAAUAUUAUGGAAUAUACAUUUAAUAUC
This is an RNA transcript of Vicia villosa (hairy vetch), 1727 nucleotides long. RefSeq lists it as uncharacterized. The record is from RefSeq and is a predicted model, not a curated record. The transcript has 6 exons. Lineage: Eukaryota; Viridiplantae; Streptophyta; Magnoliopsida; Fabales; Fabaceae.